AGCGAACGCUGGCGGCAGGCUUAACACAUGCAAGUCGAGCGGGCACCUUUCGGGGUGUCAGCGGCGGACGGGUGAGUACCGCGUGGGAACGUGCCCUCUGGUUCGGAAUAACUCAGGGAAACUUGAGCUAAUACCGGAUACGCCCUUUUGGGGAAAGGCUUGCUGCCGGAGGAUCGGCCCGCGUCUGAUUAGCUCGUUGGUGAGGUAACGGCUCACCAAGGCUACGAUCAGUAGCUGGUCUGAGAGGAUGAUCAGCCACACUGGGACUGAGACACGGCCCAGACUAUUACGGGAGGGAGCAGUGGGGAAUAUUGGAAAAUGGGGGCAAGGCUGAUCCAGCCAUGCCGCGUGAGUGAUGAAGGCCUUAGGGUUGUAAAGCUCUUUUAUCCGGGACGAUAAUGACGGUACCGGAGGAAGAAGCCCCGGCUAACUUCGUG
RNAcentral lists this ribosomal RNA (437 nucleotides) under uncultured bacterium. Its description in RNAcentral is "partial 16S ribosomal RNA". It matches the Rfam family "Bacterial small subunit ribosomal RNA", at positions 29 to 507 of the family's 1533-position model. The record is from RNAcentral.